RNAcentral lists this ribosomal RNA (36 nucleotides) under Epimedium simplicifolium. The record is from RNAcentral. Lineage: Eukaryota; Viridiplantae; Streptophyta; Magnoliopsida; Ranunculales; Berberidaceae.
GGGUGACCUCCUGGGAAGUCCUUGUGUUGCAUCCCC